UAUGCUGUGCACAACACAGCACGUGGAUGUAUUAAAAUGUCUUAUGCAGCAUAGAGGACAAGUUCUCCUUCGCAACCCAGAAUGCAUUGCUCAGUAUGAGUUUUGCUACAUACAAAAAAGGAAGAU
Small nucleolar RNA from Rattus rattus (black rat), 126 nucleotides. RefSeq annotates it as small nucleolar RNA SNORA40. The record is from RefSeq and is a predicted model, not a curated record. The transcript has a single exon. Lineage: Eukaryota; Metazoa; Chordata; Mammalia; Rodentia; Muridae.